This 59-nucleotide transfer RNA is filed under the name Proasellus ebrensis. RNAcentral describes it as "transfert RNA-T(ACA)". The record is from RNAcentral. Lineage: Eukaryota; Metazoa; Arthropoda; Malacostraca; Isopoda; Asellidae.
UCCUUUGUAGUUUAAAAAAAAUUUUAAUUUUGUAAAUUAAAGAUGUACUACCAGGGGAU